RNAcentral lists this ribosomal RNA (492 nucleotides) under uncultured bacterium. RNAcentral describes it as "partial 16S ribosomal RNA". It matches the Rfam family "Bacterial small subunit ribosomal RNA", at positions 29 to 507 of the family's 1533-position model. The record is from RNAcentral.
AGUGAACACUGGCGGUAGGCCUAACACAUGCAAGUCGAACGGCAGCACAGUAAGAGCUUGCUCUUACGGGUGGCGAGUGGCGGACGGGUGAGGAAUACAUCGGAAUCUACUUUUUCGUGGGGGAUAACGUAGGGAAACUUACGCUAAUACCGCAUACGACCUACGGGUGAAAGCAGGGGAUCUUCGGACCUUGCGCGAUUGAAUGAGCCGAUGUCGGAUUAGCAAGUUGGCGGGGUAAAGGCCCACCAAGGCGACGAUCCGUAGCUGGUCUGAGAGGAUGAUCAGCCACACUGGAACUGAGACACGGUCCAGACUCCUACGGGAGGCAGCAGUGGGGAAUAUUGGACAAUGGGCGCAAGCCUGAUCCAGCCAUACCGCGUGGGUGAAGAAGGCCUUCGGGUUGUAAAGCCCUUUUGUUGGGAAAGAAAAGCAGCAGGUUAAUACCCCGCUGUUCUGACGGUACCCAAAGAAUAAGCACCGGCUAACUUCGUG